This 92-nucleotide transfer RNA is filed under the name Daphnia pulex (common water flea). It matches the Rfam family "tRNA". From Rfam's summary of the family: Transfer RNA (tRNA) molecules are approximately 80 nucleotides in length. Their secondary structure includes four short double-helical elements and three loops (D, anti-codon, and T loops). Further hydrogen bonds mediate the characteristic L-shaped molecular structure. tRNAs have two regions of fundamental functional importance: the anti-codon, which is responsible for specific mRNA codon recognition, and the 3' end, to which the tRNAs corresponding amino acid is attached (by aminoacyl-tRNA synthetases). tRNAs cope with the degeneracy of the genetic code in two manners: having more than one tRNA (with a specific anti-codon) for a particular amino acid; and 'wobble' base-pairing, i.e. permitting non-standard base-pairing at the 3rd anti-codon position. The record is from Rfam by way of RNAcentral. Lineage: Eukaryota; Metazoa; Arthropoda; Branchiopoda; Diplostraca; Daphniidae.
GCCUUUAUAGCUCAGUGGAAGAGCGUCGGUCUCGUAAGAGUUGAAGGAAAACCGAAGGUCGAGACUCGAGAGUUCAAUCCUCUCUGAAGGCA